CCUACGGGAGGCAGCAGUGAGGAAUAUUGGUCAAUGGUCGGGAGACUGAACCAGCCAAGCCGCGUGAGGGAUGAAGGUACAGAGUAUCGUAAACCUCUUUUGUCAGGGAACAAAGGCGGGGACGUGUUCCCGGAUGAGUGUACCUGAAGAAAAAGCAUCGGCUAACUCCGUGCCAGCAGCCGCGGUAAUACGGAGGAUGCGAGCGUUAUCCGGAUUUAUUGGGUUUAAAGGGUGCGCAGGCGGACUGUUAAGUCAGCAGUGAAAGGCCGGGGCCUAACCCCGGCACGGCCGUUGAACCUGGCAGUCUCGAGUUGAAGAGAGGUAUGCGGAAUGCGCGGUGUAGCGGUGAAAUGCAUAGAUAUCACGCAGAACUCCGAUGGCGAAGGCAGCAUGCCGGCUCCACACUGACGCUGAGGCACGAAAGCGUGGGGAUCGAACAGGAUUAGAUACCCUGGUAGUC
This 460-nucleotide ribosomal RNA is filed under the name uncultured bacterium. RNAcentral's name for it is "partial 16S ribosomal RNA". It matches the Rfam family "Bacterial small subunit ribosomal RNA", at positions 338 to 795 of the family's 1533-position model. The record is from RNAcentral.